Molecule: ribosomal RNA, 540 nt
Filed under: uncultured bacterium
Lineage: Bacteria
Description: partial 16S ribosomal RNA
Rfam family: Bacterial small subunit ribosomal RNA
Source: RNAcentral
UGGGAAUUUUGGACAAUGGGCGAAAGCCUGAUCCAGCAAUGCCGCGUGUGUGAAGAAGGCCUUCGGGUUGUAAAGCACUUUUGUCCGGAAAGAAAUCCUUGGCUCUAAUACAGUCGGGAGAUGACGGUACCGGAAGAAUAAGCACCGGCUAACUACGUGCCAGCAGCCGCGGUAAUACGUAGGGUGCAAGCGUUAAUCGGAAUUACUGGGCGUAAAGCGUGCGCAGGCGGUUUGCUAAGACCGAUGUGAAAUCCCCGGGCUCAACCUGGGAACUGCAUUGGUGACUGGCAGGCUAGAGUAUGGCAGAGGGGGGUAGAAUUCCACGUGUAGCAGUGAAAUGCGUAGAGAUGUGGAGGAAUACCGAUGGCGAAGGCAGCCCCCUGGGCCAAUACUGACGCUCAUGCACGAAAGCGUGGGGAGCAAACAGGAUUAGAUACCCUGGUAGUCCACGCCCUAAACGAUGUCAACUAGUUGUUGGGGAUUCAUUUCCUUAGUAACGUAGCUAACGCGUGAAGUUGACCGCCUGGGGAGUACGGUCGC